This 584-nucleotide ribosomal RNA is filed under the name Sebastes rosaceus (rosy rockfish). Its description in RNAcentral is "partial 16S ribosomal RNA". It matches the Rfam family "Bacterial large subunit ribosomal RNA", at positions 1814 to 2603 of the family's 2925-position model. Lineage: Eukaryota; Metazoa; Chordata; Actinopteri; Perciformes; Sebastidae. The record is from RNAcentral.
CAUCGCCUCUUGCAAAGCUAAAGAAUAAGAGGUCCCGCCUGCCCUGUGACUAUUAGUUUAACGGCCGCGGUAUUUUGACCGUGCAAAGGUAGCGCAAUCACUUGUCUUUUAAAUGAAGACCUGUAUGAAUGGCACAACGAGGGCUUAACUGUCUCCUCUUUCAAGUCAAUGAAAUUGAUCUCCCCGUGCAGAAGCGGGGAUAUAAACAUAAGACGAGAAGACCCUAUGGAGCUUUAGACACCAAAGAAGAUCCUGUCAAUUAACCCCCCACAAGGGCCUGAACCAAUGGAAUCCUUCCCUAAUGUCUUUGGUUGGGGCGACCGCGGGGAAACAAAAAACCCCCACGUGGAAAGGGAGCACCCCCUCCUACAACUAAGAGCCGCAGCUCUAAUUAACAGAAUAUCUGACCAAUAAGAUCCGGCAAUGCCGAUCAACGGACCGAGUUACCCUAGGGAUAACAGCGCAAUCCCCUUUUAGAGCCCAUAUCGACAAGGGGGUUUACGACCUCGAUGUUGGAUCAGGACAUCCUAAUGGUGCAGCCGCUAUUAAGGGUCCGUUUGUUCAACGGUUAAAGUCCUACGUGA